UUGCAGGUGAGCUUUGGUUUUAAACUUUUCUAUUGCUUUCGGUGCUUUUCCCUUAUGGUCAUACGGAGGAAAUUUUUCACAAGCUCUAACAUUUGAUGUAUGCUUUUGAAGGUUUUAUAUGUUUGAGAAGAGUAUUAAAAGAAACCAAGUAAAAACAAGUUUUAUAUGUUUGAGAAGAGCAUUGGAAGAAACCAAGUAAAAACAAGUCAAAAAGGAGCUAAAAUGAAGAAAAUGGAAAAAUUGGUUAGAGGUGCAAAAAGUGGCCAGAUUUGUAAAUCUGAAAUCUGAAAAUUUGGGGGUUAUUUUCGUAACUUUUUAUUGGGAAAUUUUUGGAAACCUUAAAAGCAACUCUUUGAAGACAAUAUCAUCAUCUUUGGCCAUUUCAUACAUGUCUUGGAGAGCUUAGGGUUCUUACACUCACACUUGGGGAAUGAAGAUUUGAAGACUUUUGAUGUAUGCAUUUUCUACUUAGUCCGUCAAGCACUUAACAUGUUGGUGAGCUUACUUACUAUCUAAUCUUGUUUAUAUCAUAGAAAUUUUGAGUAGAUAUGAAGCUUAGUUACUGUCUAAUUUUGGACCCGACAAGGCAUUUUGAGCUUACCCUAUGAGAAUCUCUUCCAUCCAGUCAAGUAUAGUCAUAGAAAUUAACAAAUUUAGAUCUCAUGUGUGAUUAUUUCAGCACCUCAGUUGUUAUUUUCAAAGAGUAGGAUAAAUUGUUGACUUAAUUAUUCUUGCUUAUUUGCUUUUGCUUCUCUUCUUGAGUAGAAAGAAGAGAGAGGGUAAAUUUAUGCAGUAAAAACUUCCGUUGCUCACUAAUUGAGAAAAGAAAAGAAAACAAGUUAAUCUUUUCAUCCUAAUUAUUUAGACAAUUAAUAUUUCGUGUCCAUGAUUCUGAGUGGCUGACCAGCUUUUGCUGACAAACAAUUUUGACUGGCUUUCUAUUAAUUACUAUAAGCUAUAGUACGUAGUUUUAUUAGAUUAUAUAAUUCUACACACUCAUAAAGUAGCUUUACUUUGUAAUCUUCUUCUUCUUUUAUUAAAGUAAAGGUUUAUUUUACCUUGUAAUCUUUCAUUGAAUUAGGGGUUGCUACAUUCAUAAUUUCGACUAGCACAUUUUAUUGCAUCUUGCUCAUAUAUUUGGUUGUUCUUAUUAUGAACAGAGGAUGAUACCAUCAUUCUCACCAAGGUUAAAGUAUCUCUGCUGGUGUUAUUCCAUCAGCAUGUUUAUGAUCAUGAAUGCCUUUUUCAUAGAAGUGAACGAAUAGAAUCUGCCAGACUCCCUCGGUUAGCAAUACUGCUUGUUGAUUGCUCAUUUUCAGUGAUUACGAUUUUGCGAUUGAACAAUCCUAAUUUGAAAAGGCUUCAACUACUUUUGGGCGUUAUUGAUGAAACUUUUCAUUUUUUAUGUUAGAUAGAAACCAGUAUAACAAAGUUCUCUUUCCUACCCAAAUAUGUUUCUCUUGUGGCACUACAAUCAAAUUACAAGGUUGCACAUAUAGAGAAAGUUCACCAAAGAUAUGAGAUACGGGCUGUCUUGGACAGUUGAAAGCGCAAAAUGCAUCAAAAUAGUGCCUGACAGAGGCCACGGAGGAAAAGAGAGUUCUUUCGUUAAUUAUUUGCUAAUUAUACAACUACAAGUUGCUGAAAGUCGAUUGACAUAUAAAUAAAAAGAUCUUUACACUAAUGCAUUAAUGGUAUAAAACUGGUUAAGUAAAAAAUCAAAGAUAUUAAACAUAGAGUUUUAAGGCUGGGAGAAACAAGUACUCUUUUGGCAAAAGUUUGAUCGAUUAUAUCUCGAAUAUGUUGUCUUUAAUCAAAACCUGAUGAGUUAUAGCAUUUCAUAGUUUUGAUGAUUGACAAACUAUCCAAGGACCAGGUCCUCCAUCAGGUCCCAU
This is a long non-coding RNA of Lycium barbarum (goji berry), 1895 nucleotides long. RefSeq lists it as uncharacterized. The record is from RefSeq and is a predicted model, not a curated record. The transcript has 3 exons. NCBI's taxonomy places the organism in Eukaryota, Viridiplantae, Streptophyta, Magnoliopsida, Solanales, Solanaceae.